RNAcentral lists this small nuclear RNA (100 nucleotides) under Octodon degus (degu). The record is from RNAcentral. Lineage: Eukaryota; Metazoa; Chordata; Mammalia; Rodentia; Octodontidae.
UGUGGCAACUUUAACAAUGAGGAGUUGGAACAAUUAGAGAAGAUUAACAUGCCUCUUGUGCAAGGAUGACACACGGAUUCAUGAAAUGUUCAAUAUUUUU